RNAcentral lists this ribosomal RNA (478 nucleotides) under uncultured bacterium. RNAcentral's name for it is "partial 16S ribosomal RNA". It matches the Rfam family "Bacterial small subunit ribosomal RNA", at positions 28 to 505 of the family's 1533-position model. The record is from RNAcentral.
GAUGAACGCUAGCGGCAGGCCUAACACAUGCAAGUCGAGGGGGAGGUUACUUUCGGGUAACUGAGACCGGCGUACGGGUGCGUAACGCGUAUACAAUCUGCCUUUCACUGGGGGAUAGCCCGAAGAAAUUUGGAUUAAUACCCCAUAGUAUAGUAAUACGGCAUCGUGAUGCUAUUAAAGCUUAGGUGGUGAAAGAUGAGUAUGCGUUCUAUUAGCUAGUUGGAGAGGUAACGGCUCCCCAAGGCGAUGAUAGAUAGGGGUUCUGAGAGGGAUGUCCCCCACACUGGUACUGAGAUACGGACCAGACUCCUACGGGAGGCAGCAGUGAGGAAUAUUGGACAAUGGUCGGAAGACUGAUCCAGCCAUGCCGCGUGCAGGAUGAAGGUCUUAUGGAUUGUAAACUGCUUUUGUAAGGGAAGAAUAAGGGCUACGCGUAGUUUGAUGACGGUACCUUACGAAUAAGCAUCGGCUAACUCCG